GACGAACGCUGGCGGCGUGCUUAACACAUGCAAGUCGAACGGAAAGGCCUUUUCGGAGGUACUCGAGUGGCGAACGGGUGAGUAACACGUGGGUGAUCUGCCCUGCACUCUGGGAUAAGCCUGGGAAACUGGGUCUAAUACCGGAUAGGACCGCACUUUAGUGUGUGUGGUGGAAAGUUUUUUCGGUGUAGGAUGAGCCCGCGGCCUAUCAGCUUGUUGGUGGGGUAAUGGCCUACCAAGGCGGCGACGGGUAGCCGGACUGAGAGGUUGGUCGGCCACAUUGGGACUGAGAUACGGCCCAGACUCCGGCGGGAGGCAGCAGUGGGGAAUAUUGCACAAUGGGCGCAAGCCUGAUGCAGCGACGCCGCGUGGGGGAUGACGGCCUUCGGGUUGGAAACUCCUUUCGCCAGGGACGAAGCGUUUUGUGACGGUACCUGGAGAAGAAGCACCGGCUAACUACGUG
This 463-nucleotide ribosomal RNA is filed under the name uncultured bacterium. Its description in RNAcentral is "partial 16S ribosomal RNA". It matches the Rfam family "Bacterial small subunit ribosomal RNA", at positions 28 to 507 of the family's 1533-position model. The record is from RNAcentral.